Molecule: transfer RNA, 72 nt
Filed under: Prunus dulcis (almond)
Lineage: Eukaryota; Viridiplantae; Streptophyta; Magnoliopsida; Rosales; Rosaceae
Description: tRNA-Gln
Source: RNAcentral
AUAUUAUUAUGGGUCAGGUAUGCUCUGGGACGGAAGGAUUCGAACCUCCGAAUAGCGGGACCAAAACCCGUU